RNAcentral lists this ribosomal RNA (209 nucleotides) under uncultured bacterium. RNAcentral's name for it is "partial 16S ribosomal RNA". It matches the Rfam family "Bacterial small subunit ribosomal RNA", at positions 568 to 774 of the family's 1533-position model. The record is from RNAcentral.
AGCGUAGGCGGCGCGGUAAGUCAGAUGUGAAAUCCCGGGGCUCAACCCCGGAACUGCAUCCGAUACUGCCGUGCUAGAGGAUUGGAGAGGUAGCUGGAAUUUCUUGGUGUAGCAGUGAAAUGCGUGGAUAUCAAGAGGAACACUCGUGGCGAAAGCGAGCUACUGGACAACUCCUGACGCUGAGGCUCAAGGGCUAGGGUAAGCGAAAG